AGAGUUUGAUUUUGGCUCAGGACGAACGCUGGCGGCGUGGAUUAGGCAUGCAAGUCGAACGGUAUGGCACCUUCGGGUGUCAUAGAGUGGCGAACGGGUGAGUAACACGUAGGUUAUCUACCCUCAAGAUCGGGACAACCCAGGGAAACUUGGGCUAAUACCGGAUGUGAGCAUCCUUUUUGGAUGUUUGAAAGGUGGCUUUUAGCUGUCGCUUGAGGAUGAGCCUGCGUCCUAUUAGUUAGUUGGUGAGGUAAUGGCUCCCCAAGGCUAUGAUAGGUAGGCGGCCUUAACGGGUGGUCGCCCACACUGGGAUUGAGAUACGGCCCAGACUCCUACGGGAGGCAGCAGUCGAGAAUAGUCUACAAUGGCCGAAAGGCUGAUAGCGCGACGCCGCGUGAACGAGGAAGCCCUUCGGGGUGUAAAGUUCUUUUAUAUGUGAGCAGUGCCGGUCAUAUUAAUAGUAUGACUGGAGCGAUAUUAGCAUAUGAAUAAGCAACGGCUAACUCCGUGCCAGCAGCCGCGGUAACACGGGGGUUGCGAGCGUUGUCCGGAAUUACUAGGCGUAAAGGGCAGGCAGGCGGACCUGCAAGUUUUCUGUUAAAGACGUCAGCUCAACUGGCGCACGGCAGGAGAUACUGCAGAUCUUGAAUGCGGUUGGGGAAGACAGAAUUCCUGGUGUAGCGGUGGAAUGCGCAGAGAUCAGGAGGAAUACCAAAGGCGAAGGCAGUCUUCCAAGCCGUUAUUGACGCUCAACUGCGAAGGUGUGGGUAUCAAACAGGAUUAGAUACCCUGGUAGUCCACACAGUAA
Molecule: ribosomal RNA, 808 nt
Filed under: uncultured bacterium
Lineage: Bacteria
Description: bacterial SSU rRNA
Rfam family: Bacterial small subunit ribosomal RNA
Source: RNAcentral